This 497-nucleotide ribosomal RNA is filed under the name uncultured bacterium. RNAcentral describes it as "partial 16S ribosomal RNA". It matches the Rfam family "Bacterial small subunit ribosomal RNA", at positions 28 to 507 of the family's 1533-position model. The record is from RNAcentral.
GAUGAACGCUGGCGGCGUGCCUAAUACAUGCAAGUCGAGCGAACGGACGAGAAGCUUGCUUCUCUGAUGUUAGCGGCGGACGGGUGAGUAACACGUGGAUAACCUACCUAUAAGACUGGGAUAACUUCGGGAAACCGGAGCUAAUACCGGAUAAUAUUUUGAACCGCAUGGUUCAAAAGUGAAAGACGGUCUUGCUGUCACUUAUAGAUGGAUCCGCGCUGCAUUAGCUAGUUGGUAAGGUAACGGCUUACCAAGGCAACGAUGCAUAGCCGACCUGAGAGGGUGAUCGGCCACACUGGAACUGAGACACGGUCAAGACUCCUAAGGGAGGCAGCAGUAGGGAAUCUUCCGCAAUGGGCGAAAGCCUGACGGAGCAACGCCGCGUGAGUGAUGAAGGUCUUCGGAUCGUAAAACUCCGUUAUUAGGGAAGAACAUAUGUGUAAGUAACUGUGCACAUCUUGACGGUAACUAAUCAGAAAGCCACGGCUAACUACGUG